Long non-coding RNA from Corvus moneduloides (New Caledonian crow), 2517 nucleotides. Lineage: Eukaryota; Metazoa; Chordata; Aves; Passeriformes; Corvidae. The record is from Ensembl.
AAUAAAUCCUGCUGGGGUCAGGCAAUUUGUGUCCCAAAAAGGAGUACAGGCCAGUGUGACUGCAGCAGCUGCUGCUGUGUCAGUUACGUUUAUAUUGCUGCCUGAAACCCAGCUAUUGGAAAAAUCUAUGAAAAACCUCAGAAGCACCUCAAACUGUGCACAGCUUCAACACAGUUCACGUGGAUCACAUAUUUUAGCUCGGCAGAGUAAUGCAGUGAUCUCAUGAAAGCUGUUGAUAUUAACAAUGCACUAAUCUCUAGAUGGGAAUCUUCCCUCUACACCCAGGCCAGGCCAGAUAUCUGAUUACAAAGAACAAGUUCUCACUUACAAGAAGAGCUGUCAGGCAACAUCUUGAGUAUUUGUGGUCUGCAGAAAUAUUGGGUGCUGUGGACCCCCUGAGAGCAAAGCGUUUAUAGGAAUUGAUCAUACAUCGAAGAAUGGACUCAGAAUAUAAAGAUAAGAGGAUUUACCAGGCAAAAGAGUGAGACCAGAUAAAAGAUGAGUCACUGUCAUCCUUAAAAUGGAGCCGACAGAAUUGGGAAAGAACAGGUUUUUGGUUUUAAGCUGUAUUUAAUACCAAAAAAACCUUUGUUAUAACUUGAUUUUACUUUUUCCCCACAAUGUUUUCCUUUAAGUAUUUUGAUUAAUAUUGCCAAAUUAUUGCCAAACAGGCUUAUUUUCUGCAUUCAAACCAGGCCUGUGCUUGUAAGUACAAUGCACCUGCUAGCUUCAGUGUACUCUGCCUCCUGAAUUCUUGUGAAAUCACAUUUACCCAUGUAAAUACUACUAAAAUCCUUUGGUCGUGGUUGCAGUGACACAGGGCAUUUGUACCAGAACCCUUGCACCAGGCACAAGGGAAAGCAUCAGAGUAUUUUAACUUGCAUUUUGUUGUGUUUCAGAGUUUUUAAAAUCCAUUUUCCCUCAGGGGGAGGGGGUGUGGGGGGGGAUGAUGCAGCAAAUCUCACUGUUUCAUAUCGGAGUGGGUGAGAUUUUCUGGUAAAUGACGUGGGUAUAUGGUUAGUACCACAGUGGGAUCAGUGAUAUCAUUGCUCUAUGGCAAUGGAAAUUUUGAUGCUGACUGAGCAAUGAAAACCCAGAUUGACAUUGAUGAGCAAAUGUGAUUCACCACUAAUUUAUCCCCAGGUAUUGAGAUGGCCAUGAAGCAUAUUUAACUUGUCUGCAAAUCUAUAUAAUUUACAAAUAUGUAUGUAGAGAGCUUGAAAAUUAAUUUUCACUAACUUUUGUCUUCUAACUUUUCUCUGUGAUUGCUUUUGCUUGCCCAGCCAAGAAGCAGGUGACCAAUAAGGUAUGAAUUGCCAAUGGCUAAUGAAUAAUAAUCAAAUGAAUAGUUUGUAAAUAGCCCUUAACCUGAAAGCUGCUUUUCUGGUAUAUCUGAUGAUUUCUUACAAAUCAAAAUGUAUUUUUCCUGUUUGAUGAAUAUACAGGUACAUAUUUAUACAUGCACAACUGACAUGCCUUGUAGAAGUACACAGAUUUCCAGUCUGAGGCAGCGAUAUUUGAACAACUGCAGUUUGGAUGAGCAGCAGUUGAGGAAUUUAGCAUAGACUAGCAUAGUUAAACAAGAUUUCUACAAUUAUAAAUUGAUGAUGUAAAGUUUCAGUAAUUUACUCUUGAUAUUGACAGAACAAUUUGGGACUAAUCUGUCUAAAGGACCAGCUUUAAUUUUUUCAGGUGACUGGCUCUUGGUUUUUGUCAAUCAUUUCAGUCUGAUUAGAUCUUUAAAUUUAAACAUUUUUGUACAAGAGUUUUUCUAAUAAGAAAUUGUUAAUUGCUAAACAAACAGGCUGCAAUAACAAAAUACAAUUCACUGAAAUUGUUUCCAUUAGUUAAGCUUUCUCUCAGAGAAUUUAAAUAUUUGCUGAAUCUCUAGUCAUUGUGCAGCAGUUUUCAGGAAAAAUGUAAUGGUUGGACUGAAGGAAAAAAAAGCGUCUCGCACAAAUAGGCAUGCGAAAUAGAAGUUAUUAAACUAUUUUGGUAAAGUCCAAUGUACUAAGAGAAAGUGGAUCACAAAAGCAGAUUCAGUUUUCUGCAUUUUAGUUCAGGAUUUUUAGGCAACAGGUUUUAAGAACCAUGCAGAUGGAAACAGUUUAGUAAAACCUAAGUCUUCUUUUGUUUUGUGGGGUUUUUGUUUGUUUAAUUAGAGUAUCUAAUCUGUUUUUGCAUUCUAAACUUUUUGAAACUCGGUGGAUUGUUUCUUCCUGUUACUGAACAUUCAGCUGGCUGGAAAUGCACUUUAAUUUGAAAGCGUUGCUAUUUUCAGAAGAAUAUCUUUUUCAGCGUUACAGAUUGAUACAUAAAGACUCCAGCUUUAACAGGAGUUGGUGUGUAUUCUAGCAUUAAAAGAAGUCCUUAAAUGAUAAAUAUAAAAUACUUGAACGACUUAAAACCCAAAAGCGUAGGUUUACACUGUUUUCAAAGCAGGAGUCGAAAUUCGAAAGAGCGAGCCUAAUUUUGAGCGGAAAUAGGAAGACUGCCGUAGUUCGAUGAGGAUUCCCG